AACGCUGGCGGCAGGCCUAACACAUGCAAGUCGAGCGGUAGAGAGGUGCUUGCAUCUCUUGAGAGCGGCGGACGGGUGAGUAAUGCCUAGGAAUCUGCCUAGUGGUGGGGGAUAACGUUCGGAAACGGACGCUAAUACCGCAUACGUCCUACGGGAGAAAGCGGGGGAUCUUCGGACCUCGCGCCAUUAGAUGAGCCUAGGUCGGAUUAGCUAGUUGGUGAGGUAAUGGCUCACCAAGGCGACGAUCCGUAACUGGUCUGAGAGGAUGAUCAGUCACACUGGAACUGAGACACGGUCCAGACUCCUACGGGAGGCAGCAGUGGGGAAUAUUGGACAAUGGGCGAAAGCUUGAUCCAGCCAUGCCGCGUGUGUGAAGAAGGUCUUCGGAUUGUAAAGCACUUUAAGUUGGGAGGAAGGGUAGUAACCUAAUACGUUGCUACUUUGACGUUACCGACAGAAUAAGCACCGGCUAACUUCGUG
This 480-nucleotide ribosomal RNA is filed under the name uncultured bacterium. RNAcentral describes it as "bacterial SSU rRNA". It matches the Rfam family "Bacterial small subunit ribosomal RNA", at positions 32 to 507 of the family's 1533-position model. The record is from RNAcentral.